This 119-nucleotide ribosomal RNA is filed under the name Natrialba aegyptia DSM 13077. Its description in RNAcentral is "partial 16S ribosomal RNA". It matches the Rfam family "Archaeal small subunit ribosomal RNA", at positions 407 to 525 of the family's 1478-position model. Lineage: Archaea; Methanobacteriati; Methanobacteriota; Halobacteria; Halobacteriales; Natrialbaceae. The record is from RNAcentral.
CUUUUCUCGACCGUAGGGAGGUCGAGGAACAAGUGCUGGGCAAGACCGGUGCCAGCCGCCGCGGUAAUACCGGCAGCACAAGUGAUGACCGCUGUUAUUGGGCCUAAAGCGUCCGUAGC